Molecule: long non-coding RNA, 1982 nt
Organism: Lutra lutra (Eurasian river otter)
Lineage: Eukaryota; Metazoa; Chordata; Mammalia; Carnivora; Mustelidae
Exons: 6
Source: RefSeq, a predicted model, not a curated record
AAGCACCUCUCCUCCCCAGCAGCGAGCAGCCUUUUAUUCGGACAUGUCUGGAACUCUCCAAACCACCAAGCCAUCACUGUCCUAACACAUAGCAUUUACUGAGUACUUACUAUGGCCUCGGUGCAGGGAUUUUCCUGGGACUUUUCUCGUCUGAUCCCCACAACAAUCCAGUUGGAUUAAGUACCAUUAUUAUCUGUGUUACAGAUGGGGCAGUGGAGCUUCAGAAGGGCUAACUAGCCAGUUCAGAGCUACUGUGAGGUUUCCAGAGUCCCUUUCAGUGCCGUGGCUCAAGGAACGAACAUCAGAGCCAUGGAAAAGCAGCAGAUCACCCAGUCUCCAGUCUCCUCGCCGAGGUCUUCCAGAGAAAGCAGCCCCAGCUGCAUUCACUAGAGUCUCUCUUGGCCUUAUGUCCCAAUCACCUUUACCCUCCCUCUCCUUGUCUCCACUGCACACCCCUCCCCCGCUUCCCUUCAGCUUUGCUUUCCUGCUCUCUUUCUUUCCACAGGCAUGUGAUUGUUUAGAGCUUCUCCAUGUCGGCUCUGGCUGGCUCACAAAAAGAUCUUAUAGCUAUGAACAUCGAUGUAUAAGUUUUUGUGUACACUAUACACUGAGGAAUGGAACUGCUGGUCAUCUAGUCACUAUACGUCCAGCCUUUUGAGGAAUGAGCACUGCUUUUCACAACGGCUGUACCAUUUUACCCUCCCACGGGCAGCGUAUGAAGGUCUGGAGUUCGCCAUAUUCUCCACAGCACUUAACAGAUCUGCUCGACCAGAUGACAAACCCAGCACCUUCCCAGGCAGCCCUCGGGUGGCUGAUGGUGGUGAAGAAUUCCUGUGUUACAAAGUUCUGCAUUAAGAAAGGUCCUGAGAGGCCCACCAUUGGUGACUUAGCCUCUGGCCUCCUCUCUUGGGGAAGGGUAGAAGGUCUCGGGCAGGAAGAGGAGCCAGGAGGAGGGUCCAGUGAUACAACACAGGCCCGGAGAGCUGGCGAGCCUUGAGGAAAACAUUAGUUCAGUUCCAUGUCAUGUGGAUAUGAGGCAGAGGAGGAAGAGGACACAGAAGAUGAUGCAGGUGACCCCGAUGUGGAUGCCGAUGACGAUGCCUGUGGUAGACGUCUGGUUGCUGGGCUCCUCCUUCCGGCAGUCACACGGUGGGCUCAGGGCUAUGGGCAGGGGAAGGGAGGGAGCUGUGGCUCUCUGGCCUGAAGCCCCUGUGGACACCCAGCUUCUGGGGGCUCCUCCUUCCUCAGCUGUACCCGCCUCCAUGUCUACAUGGGACCCCAGCCCAACUUUUUUUGGCUCUCUUUACAAGUUACUGAAUACUGACUUUGUGCCCAAUACUGGGAAUAACACUUAUACACCAUUGAUGAAAGGACCAUUUGAUCCUUACCAUGGCUUUAUAAAGUCCCUGUUUUAUAGAGGACAAAACUGGGGCUCAGGUUAAGUAACUUGCUCACGGUCACACAGCUAGAACGUCAUACCACCGAAUCUCAAACUCAGCUCUAGGCCCGUGUUCUCAAGGGCUCCAUGUGCAGUUACACUCUUACGCUCUCCCACCUUCCCAGUGUCCCUGUCCCCCUCCUGCCCCCGCCCCCUCCCAGAGCCUGGCCUCCCUUCCUGAGCACCACUUUUGAGCCCCGCAACCGCUCCCCAACCUACCUGUCCUCUCAGAGGCUCCCCUCAAGGACACGAAGCGGACUGUGGCAUUGCCCUCCCCGUGCUGGUUGUAGGCAAGCAGCUUCACCUCAUAUACUGUAGUGGGGUCUGAGGGAAAGGCAGUGCUGUGCUGAGUGACCUCCCCAGGCCCCAGCGGCAGCUCUGGUGCAGCAGGGCAACAGAGGUGACCCCCACAUCCCACCUCCUGGCACCGGGCACCACACUCCUGCCCGCUCCCCCAGCGCGGUCUGCGUCCGGCUCACCAAGCUGGCUGAGGUUGUAGGAGGAGGCGGUUGCAGGCAGCAGGAUGGGGCCGGUGAAGGAGGCU